Molecule: non-coding RNA, 73 nt
Organism: Stegodyphus mimosarum
Lineage: Eukaryota; Metazoa; Arthropoda; Arachnida; Araneae; Eresidae
Source: Rfam
GCCUUCAUGGUGUAGUGGUGAGCACGCUGGGCACUUAUUCCAGAAGUCCGUGGUUCGAGUCCCGGCAAAGGCA